CCUACGGGAGGCAGCAGUGAGGAAUAUUGGUCAAUGGGCGCAAGCCUGAACCAGCCAAGUCGCGUGGGGGAUGACGGUCCUAUGGAUUGUAAACCUCUUUUGUCGGGGAGCAAGGCCCGCCACGUGUGGCGGGACGGAGAGUACCCGCAGAAAAAGCCUCGGCUAACUCCGUGCCAGCAGCCGCGGUAAUACGGAGGAUGCGAGCGUUAUCCGGAUUUAUGGGGGUUAAAGGGUGCGUAGGCGGAAGGUUAAGUCAGCGGUAAAAUGUCGGUGCCCAACACCGGCCUGCCGUUGAAACUGGGAGUCUUGAGUGAGCGAGAAGUAGGCGGAAUGCGUGGUGUAGCGGUGAAAUGCAUAGAUAUCACGCAGAACGCCGAUUGCGAAGGCAGCAUACCGGAGCUCAACUGACGCUGAGGCACGAAAGCGUGGGGAUCGAACAGGAUUAGAUACCCCUGUAGUC
RNAcentral lists this ribosomal RNA (460 nucleotides) under uncultured bacterium. RNAcentral's name for it is "partial 16S ribosomal RNA". It matches the Rfam family "Bacterial small subunit ribosomal RNA", at positions 338 to 795 of the family's 1533-position model. The record is from RNAcentral.